CAUCGCUGUGCCGGAGUGUGGGGUUAUCUAGGUAAGGAUUACCUUCCUUUGUUACUAACAUUUUUAUUUGUUAUCUAAGGGAGUCUGUAACACAUCACCAAGUGACGGAGGAAAAGGCUAUCACAACCCAGAGGUUUCCUCCGAGAUAUGGUGGUACAAAUCUCUUCUUCUUCGGUUUGGCGGUCACUGAAGUGAUUUUCCUCUCCUCAAAGAACUUGUCUGAUACCUGUGAAGAUGACGGUGGAAGACUAGCUGAUGCCUGUGAAGAUGACGGUGGAAGACAAGCUGAUGCCGGCAUUUCAUUUUCUUGAUUCUGAUUCUGAUCUUGUACGGCAGGAUAGAUAGAAGCCGGUGAAACCAACAUCUCCGGAUAUGCAUGAUUGCACAGAGGGAAGAUACCAGACUUUCUGAAUGCUGAAGUUAGGUUUUCUGGAGAGAGGGCUUUCAGGUAUGGUUUAGCUGUGAGCUAGGCAACUUCAUACUUUGUGAUCUUCAUUCCUGGAUUCCGUUGAAGAAAGAGCUGGCAUUCUCUGUUGUACAUACAUUUAAACGGUCCAAACACAGCAACAUCCAGUGGUUGUGUGAUGUGGCUUGUGUGAGGUGGCAGCACAAAUAAAAUGAUGUUGUGCAUUUUUGCCCAUUCCACAAGCGUCAAAGAAACAUGUGACCUAUGGCCGUCAAAGAGAAUAAGAGUCUUGGGUGCUGACGGAUCUGCCGAAAUACCAGCAUACUUAAUGAAGUGUUUGGUCAGAUAGUCCUGAAAUAUAUUUGUGUUGGACCAGCCACUCAUUGACAUGGAACCAGAGGAACCUGACGGAGCACCUUCCAAGAACUCGUCGUUCCAUCUCUUUCCAGGAAAUACAUAAUAGGGGUGUGUGUAAUUUCCUACAGCAUUACCUCCUCCAAUGAUGGUUACUGUCGAGGACCUUGGUGACGUUACAGCCUGUGGUUGACAUGUAGCAUCACAUACGAUCUUGGGUGGUGCGUGUUCAGUUGUCACACCUGUUUCAUCCAAGUUAAAGACACGUUCAGGCUUGUCAUGUAAACCAUGAAGCGUCAUGAGGGUGGCCAGCUCUCUGAAGUAUGCAGAGAGGACUUCCUUAGAGGCAUAUUGAGCACGCAACAUUAAGAGUUUUGGGGUUUUUGCCAAUUUCAAGUCAGGCCAGCGUCCCAAGAAACCAUAAAACCAAUUGUCACUUAAAGGUUUGUCACUUGGUGCUUUUUUUCCUUGACUUGAAGCAAAGUGUGCAGCUAGGUAUUGGAGGUUAAGUUUUGUAUACCCAUAACCAAUGGAAGACAUGUAUUUAACAUGGUCUACUAACUGUUUUUCCUCUCCGUGUGAGAGUAGGGUAUCUCCACCCGGCUUCGCACCAACUGGAACAUUCCCCCUGGUCCUGUCCCGGAGAGUUGAUUCUGGAACGCCAUACUGGCGUGCAGCACGAUAAACAGACAUCCCACUCUGGGUGGCAGCAAAUGCAUGUUGCAAAUUACUGGGAUCAUAUUGUCUUCUUACCUUGGCAGAAAAAUUCAGCUUUCUUUUAGUUUUGCUAAAAUCCUGCAAAAA
Molecule: long non-coding RNA, 1564 nt
Organism: Haliotis rubra (blacklip abalone)
Lineage: Eukaryota; Metazoa; Mollusca; Gastropoda; Lepetellida; Haliotidae
Exons: 2
Source: RefSeq, a predicted model, not a curated record